Molecule: ribosomal RNA, 491 nt
Filed under: uncultured bacterium
Lineage: Bacteria
Description: partial 16S ribosomal RNA
Rfam family: Bacterial small subunit ribosomal RNA
Source: RNAcentral
AGUGAACGCUGGCGGUAGGCCUAACACAUGCAAGUCGAACGGCAGCACAGUAAGAGCUUGCUCUUACGGGUGGCGCGUGGCGGACGGGUGAGGAAUACAUCGGAAUCUACUUUUUCGUGGGGGGUAACGUAGGGACACUUACGCUAAUACCGCAUACGACCUACGGGUGAAAGCAGGGGAUCUUCGGAACUUGCGCGAUUGAAUGAGCCGAUGUGGGAUUAGCUAGUUGGCGGGGUAAAGGCCCACCAAGGCGACGAUCCGUAGCUGGUCUGAGAGGAUGAUCAGCCACACUGGAACUGAGACACGGUCCAGACACCCACGGGAGGCAGGAGUGGGGAAUAUUGGACAAUGGCGCAAGCCUGAUCCAGCCAUACCGCGUGGGUGAAGAAGGCCUUCGGGUUGUAGAGCCCUUUUGUUGGGAAAGAAAAGCAGCAGGUUAAUACCCCGCUGUUCUGACGGUACCCAAAGAAUAAGCACCGGCUAACUUCGUG